RNAcentral lists this non-coding RNA (30 nucleotides) under Mus musculus (house mouse). Lineage: Eukaryota; Metazoa; Chordata; Mammalia; Rodentia; Muridae. The record is from RNAcentral.
GAAAUGUGCCAUCUCCUUACCUCAGUCGAA